This 253-nucleotide ribosomal RNA is filed under the name uncultured bacterium. RNAcentral describes it as "partial 16S ribosomal RNA". It matches the Rfam family "Bacterial small subunit ribosomal RNA", at positions 524 to 776 of the family's 1533-position model. The record is from RNAcentral.
UACGUAGGCAGCAAGCGUUGUUCGGAGUUACUGGGCGUAAAGGGCGUGUAGGCGGUCUGUUAAGUCAUGUGUGACAUCCCUCGGCUCAACCGGGGAACGACGCAUGAAACUGACAAGCUAGAGUACCAAAGAGGGGGGUGGAAUUCCCGGUGUAGCGGUGAAAGGCGUAGAUAUCGGGAGGAACACCGGUGGCGAAGGCGGCCCCCUGGUUGGAUACUGACGCUGAGACGCGAAAGCGUGGGGAGCAAACAGG